Long non-coding RNA from Anolis carolinensis (green anole), 1246 nucleotides. RefSeq lists it as uncharacterized. The transcript is spliced from 2 exons. The record is from RefSeq and is a predicted model, not a curated record. Lineage: Eukaryota; Metazoa; Chordata; Lepidosauria; Squamata; Anolidae.
GGUCAGGGCUGUUUUGGAUCUUGUUAAUAGCAUCUUCACGUCCAAGACUCAGGAAGUCCUCGGCACCCUCUUACGCAAUGCUGGCAAGUUUUCUUUAGCUUCUUGUAUCAGUUUGGUGAACAUGGCAUGCAGAGGAAAUGGAAAAGGAGCAGAGGAAGAGCAGUGCGACAAGGGAGAACAUGGGACAAUGCAAUUGGUCUUUUGCCCGUUCAGUUUGUUAUCAGUUUCAAACAAACAGCCUUCUGGAUGCAGUGGACUAUAUGACUACUGCUUCCAAGGCCAGUAUGUGAGCUCACAUGUAUUAUUGAGAUUUCUUUUCAUUUUUGUGCAUGAACCAACAAAUACCACAUAAUGUAAAGUUUGGGAAAAGGCUUUUUUUUUUACUUCCACGCCAUUGGACAUUGCUAAGUUUUAUCCCAGAAUUCAUAGGAGCUGUACAAGGGAUUGUUCGUUGCCAUCCCAAUAAAUUGAGUUGUGUUUCCACAGAAGUUGAGGAAGCAAGAGCACACCUUUGCUCCCUGGCUUCAGCCAGGGCUGUCUGCCAUGCAGCUGUUUAUUCAGCCUCUGCCAACGUAGCAUUUUGAGGCUGGAGAGAUGAAUGGGAUGUUCCCAUUCAUCCUGUAGCGCUGCAAGCUAAGGAGAGAUGUGACUUCCGCUCUUCCUGUCCUUCCCGCUGGAGGAGAGAAGCAAUGCAGCAGGCUGGCACCGUCCAGGAGAGCCAAGCUACGCAGCAAGACAAAGACAGACUCCAAACUCUGCAGCAGGACUGCAGCUCCCAUCAUCCCAGAGCCAGCUGUGGCCUGGGGAGAGUUGCUCUAUGCCAGGAGGCCUUGUGUAAUAUCUAACUUGGGGUGGGCACAAUUGAAGUCCAAGGGGACACAUGACCAUGGUCUGCUUUCAAUAUCCAAAAUAUAUCUGCUUGCUCACAUGCCUCCAAAUUGUUAGUGUAAGAUUAAUGUAAUGUGAAUGUUUAAAUGUAAUUUUGUGCAAUGCUUGUGAAUGUAAUCUGAUCGCAUCAGCAGAGAGUGUAUUGACACGGAAAGCGUUAAUCAGUCAAGCCUCUAAUGAACUGUGAAGAUGUGACCCUGAGUGUGCCAGGAACGCGUAGGGAGGAUUCAGAGAUAAGAUUUCGUUCCUUCCUCUUACUUCUGUGUCUUUUGUCUUGUUUCUGUCUGUUAGGUUGGAUGUCAAUGCUAGUGUGUGCUGUAUAUUUGCUCUACUCAGUAAAGCUAUAUGUUUGCUUUUA